UAAAGAGACAGAUGUAAGCUUUUACAGCUUUCACUUCUGGACUGAAUUAACCAUCUCUUCUCCAUGAGGAAUAACUUUUGUUGGAUUACUACCCUCAGCAGUGAAACCUGAUGUGACCCACUGACACUGGCAGGAUUUUAAAACUUUGAAGUCUAAAGCCAUCUAAAAAACGUCACCUUUGACUUCCAUUUCGUUCCUGGCUACUCAAGACGAGAUCACAUCAGUACAGACAGCUGUCAGGACAGCUAUGCAUUAGCUCACUGAACAUAUUUGGCAGCCACCCGAAAGUCAUUUCCACCUACAGACCUGCCUCUCCGGGGAACCUGAAAACUGAGCAGCAUGGAGGUGCUGAGCGGCCCCUGGGCUGACUUGGCUCUGCUCCUUCGACAGACCAUCGUGCAGACGGACAGAGAGACAGACAGCUUUCUUCCUCUCUGGCUGUUUGGCCUGCUGCUGUUCCUGUCUGUCUCUCUGCUUCUGCUACAACUGAUUAUCUACCUCAGCUGGAAGCUCACACAGGUUGAGGCUGAUCUGUCGGGGUUUCCACAGGAUCGAAGUGCCAUCUACAGGCAGAUACACAGCAGUACACACCAGAGGAGAAGGACUGUUGGGUUACACUCUCACACCUGACAGGAGAUACACUGUACCAGCAGAACAGACACUUAAAAACAACCAAGAUGACACUUUUCUGCUAGUUACAAGCAGUCAUGUCAGCCAACACUGGUAUCUCUGCAGAGCAAUGUGACCAGCAGGGACCUGUGAGGGAAACGUCUCAGGCAAAAUGAAGGUGCCUUAAGAGGAUAAACAUUGGCGCCUGUAAAUAAAAUCCUUAGCUGUCAUAGAAGAUUUGUCAAAAUGUUUUGUUUUGUUUAAAACCCUUGGGGAAAUCUGGAAGAAAACUGUCUCCAACCCGUUCUGACAUCAUUAUGACGCUUCAGGCAUCUUAGUAUUUAUAUUUUUCCCUCUUGUUAAGUUUGAGAAACUAUCGACCUUGAAUUACUUUUUGCAUAACUGUACCUUUUUAUUACCAGACUUCCUGAGCCAAAACAUACAGGACUUUGGUUUUUACUAAUAAAUCAGCAAAUAAAUGAAUGACGAAAUGAUUUCAGAGUAUAACAAUCCUUUAUUUAAACAGUGUUACACAGGGGAGGAGUGGCUGUGUGUGGAGAGAGACACAAGACAAUUAAGCCGCUAGAUAGAAAAACCCUACCGGUGAUCAUUGGUUGGCUAAAGAGGGAACGAUGAGGCAGCUGUGGGUGGUUUUCCCAAAAAAUCACACAACUUUUUGUUGGGAGUUUAAAUACAAAACGGUGCUGGUAUGAUUUACCAAUGUCUCAUCUGUGGUAAAAAGCCUAAGAUGUAACUGUUAAAAACGUAGGCCAAUUAUUCUAAGGUCUGAUGGCAGUAUAUUGUUAGUUUUUCCACAUGACAUUGCCCUCUAUAACGUUACCAUGUUAAGAUCCCUGACUGUUUUAAAAUCAGCUGGCGUAGAAUCACAAUCAAUUGAUUACAGAGCGUUUCAUUGCUAUUCUGUUGCUACGGCAACCAUUUUGGUCCCUGUGUACUUCCUGUCAGCUACU
This is a long non-coding RNA of Plectropomus leopardus (leopard coralgrouper), 1580 nucleotides long. RefSeq lists it as uncharacterized. Lineage: Eukaryota; Metazoa; Chordata; Actinopteri; Perciformes; Serranidae. The record is from RefSeq and is a predicted model, not a curated record.